AUGAAUGUUGCCCAACAGAGGUUAUUUUGUGGAGUAUUUAAAGGAGCUAGGUUCCCUUAUGGGUUAGCAGCUAAUAUACGUGGUAAUGUGCAUGUCAAGGAAAGGAAAAUAAUCGGGCUAAAGAGCCAUGACAACCACAUCUUGAUGCAACAUUUGCUACCACUUGCUGUGAGAAGGCUAUUGCCCGAAAAAGUUAGUGCAGCAUUGAUUCGUGUUAGCAAUUUUUUCAAGCAGAUUUACUCACAUGUUAUUUCUGUUAGUGAUAUGGAAAAACUAGAGGCUGAAAUAGCUGAGACCUUGAGCAUUCUUGAGACUAUAUUCCCCCCAUCCUUUUUUGAUAUCAUGGUACACUUGAUGGUGCAUCUUCCAGCCCAAGCAAAAAUAGCUGGUCCAAUGCAUUUUCGCAACAUGUUUCCUAUAGAAAGGUAUUUGUGCCGGUGUAAGGGCUUUGUUCAUACUAGAAGUCAUCCAGAGGGAUCUAUUGCCAAGAGCUAUUUAUUUGAUGAGACUCUUACGUACUGUUCUCGGUAUAUAAAAGGCGAAACUCAGUUUACUCGACAAAUUAGAAAUGAUCAAGGUUUGGGUAUGGAAACUAGUAGUACCACACCUUUCUUC
RNAcentral lists this ribosomal RNA (615 nucleotides) under Triticum aestivum (bread wheat). RNAcentral's name for it is "partial small subunit ribosomal RNA". The record is from RNAcentral. Lineage: Eukaryota; Viridiplantae; Streptophyta; Magnoliopsida; Poales; Poaceae.